This 1000-nucleotide long non-coding RNA is filed under the name Numida meleagris (helmeted guineafowl). RNAcentral's name for it is "lncRNA (ENSNMEG00000022710.1)". The record is from RNAcentral. Lineage: Eukaryota; Metazoa; Chordata; Aves; Galliformes; Numididae.
ACACUUUUUUGUUUGGCUGUUCUGUGGACACGUGCUCUGUGGUUAGCAGUGCCUGUGGAACAACUUACUGUACGCUGAUGCUUUUCUAGCUCCUUAGCCCCUCAACUCAUGCUGGGGGUGAAUGCUGCCUUGGACUUGUCUGUAGAGAUGCUUGACCAUAUUUUACCAUUGCCAACUGAUGUAAAAGAAAGGAUUGUCCCUAUGAAAGAAUGAAGGAAGAAUCUUCUGGCAGUAAUGAGGUAAUGCAGAGCCUUUGGUGUUUGAAAGGAUCUGAGCUCUGUAAUAUCCACCCAGAUUUUGAGUGUUGCACACUUGGAUCUUUCUCCUCGAGCUGGUUUGAAUGUCUGCUCCAGUGUCCAGCCUUGCUGUACUGUUCCCUGCAUUUCAAAUAUUGCUGAGAGAAGUGAAAAUGAAUGUUGUAUUGCCUUGAGGAAGUUCAUCUGCCUUGCAUCAGAGAGCCAGAUGGCCCAAGGAUUUGGUGACAGAUUAUGAAGGCUUACACUUGAUUGAUUUCUGGAUAGUAGACAGUGCAGUGUGGGUCUUCUGUUCUGCUGCAGCCUUAGCCACAAAAAACUUAAAUCUCAGUCCCUUCAUUCUGUGACAUGAUGAUGCCUGAUAUAUGAGGGCUGCUCUGAAAGUAAUGCUUCCUAUUUUAUUAUGUUGGUCCACAACACCAAGGGGUGGAUAUCUCUGAUAUGGCAGUAGAGGCAGAACCUUCCCACCAAUAUUCCGUUACGUUUUGUUGCAACAGUGACAGUGCUGAAAUAUCGCAAAGUUUGCGCCAGGCAAGACCCGUGGAUGCUCACACAGGAACAGAAGGAGCACUGCAUGCAAGUUUGUUGGGACCCAUUGAACAAAUACGAAGCUGAAGGUGACAGCAUCCUGGAUUGCAACAUUACCAGUGACGAGGCAUCGUGUCAUCACUACGAGCCAAAGUCAACACGACAGUCCAUGGAGUGAUGACAUGUGAAUUCUGCAUUAGAGAAAAAGUUCAAGACAC